Molecule: non-coding RNA, 56 nt
Organism: Myotis lucifugus (little brown bat)
Lineage: Eukaryota; Metazoa; Chordata; Mammalia; Chiroptera; Vespertilionidae
Source: Rfam
UUUUUAGUAUAGGUAUGUCCCAUGCCCUAUAUAUUUGGGAUAUAUUUAUACUAAAA